RNAcentral lists this non-coding RNA (203 nucleotides) under Shimia gijangensis. The record is from RNAcentral. Lineage: Bacteria; Pseudomonadati; Pseudomonadota; Alphaproteobacteria; Rhodobacterales; Roseobacteraceae.
UCCAAACAGGGGGAGUAUGGUAUUCGCGCAGUUUACUGCCGGAUCAAACGGGAAUGUGGAACGGGCUUCGGUCUUAGCCACAGCCGCCCCCGCGACUGUAAGUGGCGAGCGCGCGUUCAAAUCCACUGGAGGGCAACCUCUGGGAAGGGAAUGCACCGCGUCGACCCACAAGCCAGGAGACCGGCCAUGCGACUGAUAAAAAC